GCGUUGGUAGUGCAAUGGUUAGCAUACGCUCGCGAAAAGAGUGAGAUCUGGGUUCGAAUCCCGGCUGAAGCA
Non-coding RNA from Parelaphostrongylus tenuis, 72 nucleotides. Lineage: Eukaryota; Metazoa; Nematoda; Chromadorea; Rhabditida; Metastrongylidae. The record is from the annotation of a GenBank genome assembly.